RNAcentral lists this long non-coding RNA (1109 nucleotides) under Struthio camelus australis. RNAcentral describes it as "lncRNA (ENSSCUG00000014733.1)". Lineage: Eukaryota; Metazoa; Chordata; Aves; Struthioniformes; Struthionidae. The record is from RNAcentral.
GAAAUGCCUAUUGCUCAUAACUGAUUUCUAGAAGGAAAAAAAAGAUUUUCAGCUGAAAGAUUAUGUAUGGCAUUCCACUGGAAGUUUUGAGUGUUGAUCAUGUCAAUAAGGUCUGGCAACGACUGCAUGCCAGAGCAUGGUCUUAGAUAUCGUCAGCAAAGAGUGUGAGCUCCCCACGGAAGAAAGUGUUCAUCUGAAGAGCUUUCUGUGGAAACCUGGCUGCUCAGCCUUUGCGGGCUCACGCUAGUCUCUCCAGGGAGACCCCGAGUCCUGACCCUUCUUGUUGCUCUCCUGGCACUGCCACGAGGGAUCCCAGUCUGCCAGGAGCAGUGACACCACUGACUGUGCUGUGCUACUUGCCAGCCCAAACUGACUGCUGCCCCAAGGACAGACAAUGUUCUGCCCCCCUCCAGGCAGGCAGCCUCCAGGUGGACUGCCCAGGGCUGUGAUGUCAUGUGCAUCAUCUCCGGACAGGCAGGGACAUCUCUUGGAACGUGUGCCAGGAUCACGCGAGCAGCAGGCUGGGAGACUGGCUUCUCAUAGCCCGUUAACCACAUUCGGCUCCUCAGCUGGAAAUGCCCUCAUAAUUACCAGGAAGAGCCGUCGCCGAGCUCGUCACCUAAAACACCAAGAAGCGAGGUUUCCAAGAGCGUCCACCACCGGCCUCAUUCCUGACAGCCCCUUUGCCUCAGGGGACAUCACAAAACUCUGACUAUGUGCAAGGGGAAACACGUCUGGGAGACCUCUUUCUUUUCCCACAGCAGGUUGUGGCCCUGCUCAGAAUGGACUGCCAGCGAAAGACAGAAGAAAUGGAAGGGAAAUACACGGACAAAAGGAUGCGGGCAGCUGAAGAGGACAACACAGAAGAGGACAAAGCCACGUUAUCUGGUCAAGAGCAAGCAGCCUUGUGGGUCAGCACUGUGUCUUCAGUGCCAGGAUAUGAGCUGCCUGAUUUCAAAUUGUUGCUGUUGGUUAAGUUUCUGCUCAUCACUGGUCUGAUGCUCGUUCUUAGUCGCCCAGAGUCUCCCGUCAUAUAUGUCCUUUGAGAAAGACAGUUCGGGAAUAACGACGACGUGAAAAUGAAAUGGCAGUUUUCCAUUUCGUGUCAU